Molecule: small nuclear RNA, 104 nt
Organism: Ictidomys tridecemlineatus (thirteen-lined ground squirrel)
Lineage: Eukaryota; Metazoa; Chordata; Mammalia; Rodentia; Sciuridae
Source: Ensembl
AUGCUUGCUUUGGUGGCUCAUACACUAAAAUUGGAAGGACCCAGAGAUUAGCAUGGCCCCUGCACAAGAAUGAUAUGCAUAUUUGUGAAGCAUUCCAUAUUGUU